RNAcentral lists this ribosomal RNA (380 nucleotides) under uncultured fungus. Its description in RNAcentral is "SSU rRNA". It matches the Rfam family "Eukaryotic small subunit ribosomal RNA", at positions 828 to 1208 of the family's 1831-position model. The record is from RNAcentral. Lineage: Eukaryota; Fungi.
CGCGCGGUUCUAUUUGUUGGUUUAUAGGACCGCCGUAAUGAUUAAUAGGGACAGUCGGGGGCGAUCAGUAUUCAACUGUCAGAGGUGAAAUUCUUGGAUCAGUUGAAGACUAACUACUGCGAAAGCAUUUGCCAAGGAUGUUUUCAUUAAUCAGGAACGAAAGUUAGGGGAUCGAAGACGAUCAGAUACCGUCGUAGUCUUAACCAUAAACUAUGCCGACUAGGGAUCGGACGGUGUUAUUCAUGACCCGUUCGGCACCUUACGAGAAAUCAAAGUGCUUGGGCUCCAGGGGGAGUAUGGUCGCAAGGCUGAAACUUAAAGGAAUUGACGGAAGGGCACCACCAGGAGUGGAGCCUGCGGCUUAAUUUGACUCAACACGG